CCCGCCAUAUAUAAACACAAUAGAUUGCCUCACGUACUGUGACUUCCGGGCAAAAUGCUAUUAUCAACGGGCAUUGUGGUACGGGAACACGUAUUUGUUGGAAUACUUACACAUUCUGUGUGGAUCUUUCCAACAUGUGACGUCACGCCAUGGCUUCAGGAGGGAUACAAGUUUGGCCUCGAAAAUGGAGUUCUUCCAAAGUAUGCGAGGAAUAUACAUAGUUGGAUACAGUCUUCGACAGAGGCCUUCGGCUGGUGUUGUGCGAAAAGCAUCUAAAACGGGACGAAGCCUUUGAUGAUGAACUGCGUCAAGCAUCUACAAAUAUGACUUGCGGGUGACCCAUAUAUAAUGAAACUGUAACAAAACAAAAGAAGAUUGCCUGCAGUGGGCACAGGCCCGAUCAAUUAGCUGAUCGGCCGGUUAAGUUGAACCCGUUUUAAAAUCGUCUAAUUAUGGCAUAAAGAACGUUCCAGCAUUGAUGGGAACUUUUGCCUCUUGAAAUAUAAAUGUUGAGAUCAACUGGUAAUUUCAUGACAAUUAAUUACUCUAUGCUUAUCAUUUUUACGAGUGUGGAUGAAAUAUUGUACUAGUGCAUCGGGUCACGCACGCUAAAUAUAGCUUCAUUUAACGAAUCAGGUUUAGUGAAAUUGGACGCUAAUUAUUCUUGUGUAUUAUUCAACAUUUGUACAAACCGGUGUGAUGUUCACGUUGACGAUAUGAAGUCAAUUUCUUCUAUGUAUCGCCUGAUUUGGUCAUGGUGCACGUGGCUGUCUUCCGUUCGUGUGCCGCCGUCAACUUUCACGGCCAUGGUUGCACUACUUGGCGUCGGCUACAUAUCUGAUGUCAGUCUUAGAGGGUACUAUGUUCCGAUUUAUAUUAUUUAUAGCUUGUUUAUAAAUUGCUAAUAACUUCUAAAAGUGUUUUAGGUAAUGGUGCAUCAUUUAUUAGCCAAUCCUUUAUCGGGAUUACUUUUCUUCGCGCACGGUCACAAUGUAAUUAGCAUUGCUAGUGGCGCUAGCCAAUCAGAACGCCGCUAGGCUUAGCACAAUAAAGAACACUCGCCUUACUUUAAGAGUUUGGCUCUUAGUACUUUGAGUGGUGUCUCAUAGGUAUAUUCUCUUAGCAUAGUAGAGAACACUCACCUUACUUUAAGAGUUUGGCCCUUAGUACUUUGAGUGCUGGUCCAUUGUAGUUGAUACUCACCUUACUUUAAGGGCUGAUCUCUGGGUAAAUAUUAUCUCCGUUGCCUUUUAAUCUAAGCACAGUCUAGGAAACUUACCAUUAUAUUAGGUUGUAAUAAUCUGCAUCAAUGUGAAGUCGAUUCCUUAAUUCUAGUCGACUUUUCUUCAGCAUUCAAAGCUUGAUCUUUAAUGUAUCAGUCAACUCCUAGUAGCUGAAGUUGGUUUCAUGAGAAUAAGAUAGUGUUGAUUAGUGUAAUAGUGUUCGAGAAUUGUGGAGAGUUAUCUCCCUUCUAUCAAUUAUAAACAGAUAUAGGGACUGUUGUGGUAACCUUCAACUUUAUUAAUCACUCGUCAUACAUAUAUUAUGGUGAAUUCAUGUUGUGUAAAUACUGUGUACAUUCCUUAUUGCCAUUUAUGUAAUAAUUGUCUCAUUGUUGAAAAUGUUGUGACUUUUAAAUAGAAAAAUAUAUUUAUAGAACGGGAUUCCUGUCUUGAGAUUUCUAUA
Mizuhopecten yessoensis (Yesso scallop) is the source of this 1686-nucleotide long non-coding RNA. RefSeq lists it as uncharacterized. Lineage: Eukaryota; Metazoa; Mollusca; Bivalvia; Pectinida; Pectinidae. The record is from RefSeq and is a predicted model, not a curated record. The transcript has 3 exons.